GGAAUUAUUUUAGCCUACCAGAGAAAAAAAGCUUGUACAGCUCUAGCCUUCACUGUUUUCAGAGUUUGAUUUCCUUUCUUUCAUCUGCUGCCUUUCAGGAGGAUUUGCCCUCAGGUUUUAAUUUUUGUAAAUCCGUUAAGAUCAAAGAAGAUAAGUGCUCCUUGGAAGGAAGUAUCUGAAAUAUACAAACCUACGCUCUUUAAAAUCAGGUACUCAAUAAGUGACCACCUUUCCGUCAUUUCAGAGGGGCGGGGGAAUUCAGUAAAGAACUGAUACGUUCAACUAUUUAAUCCUGUUACACUGGCUAGUCCAAGAGGCCUUUCCCACAUAAUGACCAGAGACGUAUGAAAGUAGAAAAGGGGCAGGAAAUGAAAUAUAAAGAUACAGUCACUCUGAAACAAAUGCAUGUUUUUUUUCCCUCUCUGAUCUCUGUGAAGACACUCGUCUGAACUCACGGCGACACAACGGCUUAGCUGUCGCCACAAGUAAGUGGACUUGGCAGUCCUGUCGAAAUGACCUUACAGUUUCAAGUCUACGAGACAGCCUUUUUUUUGUUUCAGGUAAAAGGGCACGAAUCUGAUUGCCCACACAAAUACUGCGAUUUAAAAUAAAAAGACCCAGGCAGCAAAGAACCGAGGAUCGCUUCGUGGAAGUGAAAAGGAACCCAAGAUCAUUCACUCUUAAGCGGACUCAGGGCCUCGACUUCUUGCUAAGCAAAGUUCAGUACUGUAGCCAUGGCAGGCACUACGUGGGGCUGGUGUUGACCGCAGGCUGGCAUAAAGCAGGAGCAAUGAGACUGAAAUCAGUAGCUUUACACUCCCGCAGUCCCAUGAGCAUGAAGAUCGGAAUCUGGGGAAAAGGCUUCUUUUUUAAAAAACUAUAGCAAAUUGGAUUUUUUUUUUCUAGAUUGCAGAUCCUACAUUUCAAAGAUAGAGGAAGCCGGGUCCUGCGCUCUCCAUAGGCGCAUGCAUUAUACAUACUCGCUUCUUUUGGAGUGAAUGAUAUUGCAGCUUUAAACGAGUGGCCGCGUAGGGCAUUUUAAAAUAUUUUGAAUUAAUUUGAACUCUAUUCUGGGAUAUAUAUUUUUUUAGAGGACGUGUCUGGCGAAAUCCUAUCCGGAUCGUAAUUGAAAGCCUUUUAUUGAAUGGCUGAGCCGGGGGAAUGGGCACGUUUCUGAGCAGCCUUGCGGAUGCGGGGUUCACAGAACUGGGAGAAAGUUGGUCUCUCCUGGGAAACUGUAUCCACUGCUUUUUAAAUCUCGCCUCUGUAAGGAAUAGGCACGAGCGGGAUUUUUGGCAGCCAGCAAACUUAUUACAACUCAAAUGUCCA
Molecule: long non-coding RNA, 1329 nt
Organism: Gavialis gangeticus (Gharial)
Lineage: Eukaryota; Metazoa; Chordata; Crocodylia; Gavialidae
Exons: 2
Source: RefSeq, a predicted model, not a curated record